This 399-nucleotide ribosomal RNA is filed under the name Notomma n. sp. 1000. RNAcentral's name for it is "partial 12S ribosomal RNA". Lineage: Eukaryota; Metazoa; Arthropoda; Insecta; Diptera; Tephritidae. The record is from RNAcentral.
CUUAUUUUAAUAAUAAGAGCGACGGGCGAUGUGUACAUAUUUUAGAGCUAAAAUCAAAAUUAUAAUCUCUUUAAAUUUACUAUCAAAUCCACUUUCAUUAAAAAUUUCAAAUUUAAAUUCAUAUAAAUAUUUUUAUUGUAACCCAUCACUACUUAAAUAUAAACUACACCUUGAUCUGAUAUAAAUUCUAUUUAAAAUUUAAGAAAAUUAUUAUUCUAAUAAAAUUUUCUAAUAACAACGACGGUAUAUAAAUUGAAAAACAAAUUUAAGUAAGGUACAACGUGGAUUAUCGAUUAUAGGACAGGUUCCUCUGAAUAGACUAAAAUACCGCCAAAUUUUUUAAGUUUCAAGAACAUAACUAUUACUACUUUAGUAUUUAAUUAUACAUUUUAAAUAAUA